UACGUAGGGGGCGAGCGUUGUCCGGAAUCAUUGGGCGUAAAGAGCUCGUAGGCGGCUUGGCAAGUCGGAUGUGAAAACUCCAGGCUCAACCUGGAGCCGCCAUUCGAUACUGCUAUGGCUAGAGUCCGGUAGGGGAGUGUGGAAUUCCCGGUGUAGCGGUGAAAUGCGUAGAUAUCGGAAGGAACACCUGUGGCGAAAGCGGCUCACUGGACCAUUACUGACGCUGAGGCACGAAAGCUAGGGAGCAAACAGGA
RNAcentral lists this ribosomal RNA (254 nucleotides) under uncultured bacterium. RNAcentral describes it as "partial 16S ribosomal RNA". It matches the Rfam family "Bacterial small subunit ribosomal RNA", at positions 524 to 777 of the family's 1533-position model. The record is from RNAcentral.